AUUCUUUUUUCCCUAUCCCGUGUUUUCCAUAUCUCUCAUUUUUUUCUUCCGUCAUUCAUGUUUCUAUCUCUUCCCGCAUCUCUCACUUAAAUUAUCACCUCCCUCUACUUCCAAUGGUGCCGAGACCAGGACACACCAUCCUCCUUAUUAACCUUCUAUUAUCACCUCAUUCUUCACUUGUUGUCUCAGACAUAAACCAAACGAAACACAGGCGGCGUUGCGGCUAUUUCCAUUGAACUUGAGCCACCACCAUUCGCCAUUUUUUCCGACGAGUUCCCCCGAUCACAGCACCUUGGUCACGCACCUCCCUCUGUGAGUUCUAUGAGCUCAGAAACGAAGGAAAACGCUUCCAAAUCUCCUCAAUCACCUCACUGUGUAGUGACAUCGUGAGCACCCUCAUCAUCGACGAAUCUCACUCUUCACGGCUUAGGUAAGCCUCAGGUCACCUCCGCCCUUCCUCAUAUGUGUUUUAGAAACAAUGUCUAGAUGUUGGACGUCUGAUUUAGUGAGGUAUGGUACAAAAGCGCGACUAGGAGGAAAAAGUUCCCCUGAUUCUAGCAAAGUCUGUGACCAUUGGUCACUUUCAUGUGUGAUUUCCAGCCAUAUCCGGCCAUGAAUCGAUCUAGUGUAGGUAUAUAUCGAUUCCCCUCAUUCCCAGCUUCACAUCCAUAUAUAAAAUGUUGAUUAUGAUCUGGAUUUAAGCUCGUUUGAAGCUUUAAAAGUCGGUCUUGCAACCUACAAAUUUGUAGGCUUAGCAAGGAAGGCGAGUACCAGUGUACUCGCAGACACGUGGGCACACAUGGGGAAACCACUGAGAGUAACGUGUGUGGCGCAUGGCUGCCAGUGCAGCCAUCGUGUGGCGGUGUGUGGUGAAAUGCAUUUAUACAUUAGUAUGUUAUAUAUUUACGCAAGUGGUUCCGUUGCUAGGUGAAACGCAUUACAAGGAUCUUUGAUGCCCGUGAGACGGGUUUGACUCGACGACAUGAUUUGUUAUCUGCUCAUCGUGUGCUACACUGGUGUUUGUACUCGCCUGGGCCAGAGCCAAGCUUUAUGUGCAUAUUCACAUUGCAUCAUACGCUGACUUUAACUCCAUUGUAGGUGCUAGUCUUGUCCUAGAUUGCUUUAGGCAAUGAGGAUUUGUAUGUCAUGUGCAUAGCGCCAGUCUUCACGUGAUUGUAGUACUAAAGUGUAAAUCAUAUUACAACUAGUCAUGUUCAUGUCAGAAUACAUCUACAUGAACUCGUGUGUCAGCAUAUGUCGAUGAGCACUUGAUGUGAUAUGUUUAUUUUAGGGAAAUAUUGUGGUUACCGGAAGUUAUAUUCUUAUUUAUGAAUUUUUGUGACGUAUGAAAUUCUUGAGUUAUUGUAGGCUACGGUAAGUAUUUUCAUACCAUACGUAGUAAGUGUAUUUUGGAAACUAUACUUGUUUUACAGCGAGAGGUUAUUAUGUUUUCGAAAAGGUUUUUAAAAAACUUUAUGUUUAGGCCCAUUCACCUUUGUUUUUCGCCCCUCCAUGUUUUAGUAGUUGAGCUUUCAAAUCGACAAGGAUUCUUGGCAAGUCUUAGUAUAGGAGGUUACCUUCGAUGGUAUAAUUUUUAUCAUACCUUUACUGUACUUUAUUUAUGCUUUGACAUCACGUGUGAAAUGUGGCUCAUUCCCGCUCACGUGCGCACUCUUGCACUUAGUCACUUUUAGAUUUAAAUUUAUUCACAUUUUUCACAUCACUACACUUAUGGCUUCGUUACCUUCCGGUGUCGGCCAACAUAACUCGAUUCGAAGAUCCAGGUGGACCUUCCGGGUCAUAAUGUGUCAAGAUUCAAACUUAUUUAAUUUAAAAUUUUUAAAUACAUUAAAUCCAACAGCUGAGAUCAAAUAUGAUCACAUCUAGCGGUAAAAGAAAAGAUCUAAUGGCUCAAAAUUAAACCCUCUUCAACAACCUACGUCAUUGACAGCAACCCCCUUCUCUUUCACCGCCGACCAACCCUCCCCCUCCUCUUCUUACUAUUCUGUCUUUCAAACUAAUGGUACUAUAUUCAGAUCACAUUCAAUUUCGAAGAUGGCAAUAUGAUCCUAACUUAGAUUUAAAAAAAAAAAAAAGACUCAAAAGAAUUUAGGUAUGAAGAAUUUAUCAGUAGACUAAUUAAAAUUAUGAGAAUGGCAUUUUACUUCCUCGGGCAAUCAUUACUGUCCUAAUAGAAAACACACAAACAUGACUAUUCAGAGAGAACAUCAUACUAAGAGGGACAAGGAUUGUCUGCCCUCCUACUUCCCGUGCCCUUCUGUGCCCUCCUGUUUUGUGUAGUCACGGUUAAGCCAUGUCAACAUUUUAUUUACUAUUCAUUUUUGUCUUAUUAUCUCUAUAAAAAAACAAUAUAAAAUGUUGACGUGGCUUAACCGUGAACACACAAAACAGAAGGAUACGGGAGAGCACGGGAAGUGGGAGGGCAGACAAUCCUUGUCCUACUAAGAGAGGUUUAGAAGUUGAAUUCAUGCAAGCAACAAAGAGAUAUUUGAUGUGGGUUUUAUGGGAUCAAAUUUGUGAAGGAUUUCUUUAUUUUAAAGAUGAAUAUUAGCUUCUAUAUAAAAAUUAAAAAUAAUAUAUGGAUAUUAGCUUUUGGGUCAAAGAUUUGAAGGGGUUUUGAUAUUUGGGAGCUUUAUAUGAAGCCAAAUAUUUUCACUAUAUUUCAAAGAACUUCACUAGUUUUUAAAUAUGUCAAUGAGAGACAAAACAUAAAAUCAAUUAAAGCUCAUCCCAAAAACAUAGAAACAAUGUUUUAAAAUACCAGUCAUACCCCUAAGGCUUUAUGGCUGCUACUUGAACCUAGUCCUCACAAUUUCAACAAAAUUAAUAUGUGGCAUAAGGUCAACCCAUCCUCGACUAUUUCUGUAUAAUCAGUUUUGAAACUAUAUGUGGAAUCAAUUUGUAUCCUUUAUUACUAGAAUCAGUUCAACCCGUCAUCGACCAUUUUUACAUAAUUAGUUCAACCCAUCUUUGACUAUUUUUGCAUAAUCAAUUCAAACUGUACUCGACCAUUUUUGUUGAAUCAAUUCAAUUCGUCUUCGACUAUUUUUGCAGAAUUAGUUCAAUCUGUCCCUAACCAUUUUUGCAGAAUCAAUUCAACUUGUCCUCGAUCAUUUUUGAAGAAUCAGUUCAACCCGUACUCGACCAUUUCCAAUCUUUCAAACGCCAAGUUCACCUUCGGCCUAAUAUUUCUUGAAGAGAAAAAGAGAGAGAAAGGAGUAACAGAUGAAGGGAUGGAAUUGUGAAAAAUUCUACCACUAAGGGUAUUGUUGUAACUUACACUCUAGAGAAAAAAUAUUAAUGAUGCAUCUUUUACAUGUAUUAACUUUGUCUUUCCUUGAGAUGUUUAGAAAGUGUUGUUUCAAUAUAAAAUUAAGUAUUAAAUGUAUACUCUAUGUAUAAUUUUUUCUUUAUAUUUCUGGGUUGGUAUGUUUUA
This is a non-coding RNA of Malus domestica (apple), 3457 nucleotides long. Lineage: Eukaryota; Viridiplantae; Streptophyta; Magnoliopsida; Rosales; Rosaceae. The record is from RefSeq and is a predicted model, not a curated record.